RNAcentral lists this ribosomal RNA (370 nucleotides) under uncultured soil bacterium. Its description in RNAcentral is "bacterial SSU rRNA". It matches the Rfam family "Bacterial small subunit ribosomal RNA", at positions 26 to 387 of the family's 1533-position model. The record is from RNAcentral.
AGAGUGAACGCUGGCGGUAGGCCUAACACAUGCAAGUCGAACGGCAGCACAGUGGUAGCAAUACCAUGGGUGGCGAGUGGCGGACGGGUGAGGAAUACAUCGGAAUCUACCUUUUCGUGGGGGAUAACGUAGGGAAACUUACGCUAAUACCGCAUACGCCCUUCGGGGGAAAGCCGGGGAUCGCAAGACCUGGCGCGGAUAGAUGAGCCGAUGUCGGAUUAGCUAGUUGGUGAGGUAAUGGCUCACCAAGGCGACGAUCCGUAGCUGGUCUGAGAGGAUGAUCAGCCACACUGGGAACUGACGACACGGUCCAGACUCCUACGGGGAGCAGCAGUGGGGAAUAGUUGGACAAGUGGGCGACAAGCCUGAU